Molecule: long non-coding RNA, 1080 nt
Filed under: Sus scrofa (pig)
Lineage: Eukaryota; Metazoa; Chordata; Mammalia; Artiodactyla; Suidae
Description: lncRNA (ENSSSCG00070002678.1)
Rfam family: Small nucleolar RNA SNORD116 (bases 901-992)
Source: RNAcentral
GCAGAGGAGGUGCCAGGGGUUUGGGUUUCCCGUCGUGUCGGGGGUGUGGCGCAGGUUGCCCCAGUGGGCCUGAAUGUGCCUCCGUGGGGCACCUUGUUGCCGUGUUGGGGGCGGGGAGCCGGCCUUGGGGAUCCAUCUUUCGGGCCCUGGGACGUGGGAGAAGAAUGCCGGGGCCUCUCUCUGUGCCCCUGGCACGCCUCUGUGCAGGCCGGGCCUGCACCACCCCCCGCGCCCGUCCCCAGGCAGGGUCCGUGUGGCUGCAGACACCCAGAGAGAGGGGAGGCUGGGGAGGCUGGGGAGCCGUGGCAGCCCGAUGCAGUGCGGGUCUCCAGGUGGAGGGGCCCUGGUCCCCUGGCGCCAGCGUGGCCCUUCCUCCUUGUGGAAACCCUUGUGGUGUGUGUGCUCUCUCGCCCUGACCCAGGAGAGCAGCAUGGCGGACCCCUGAUCUUGUGGCGUGCCACCGCGCGAGGCCGAGGAGCUCCCGCAGACCAGUGGGCGUGGCGUCCUUGUCGCGGCUCUGUGGAGACCUGGCGAUGGAGAGCAGCAUGGCGGACCCCUGAUCUUGUGGCGUGCCACCGCGCGAGGCCGAGGAGCUCCCGCAGACCAGUGGGCGUGGCGUCCUUGUCGCGGCUCUGUGGAGACCUGGCGAUGGUGAGCGGCCCCUGUCCUCAGUGGUGGAGAACUCGCCCUUGGGGCGCUCGUCGUCCGGAGCCCCGGGCCACCCCGCUUCUCGCGGGCUUUGGCCCCGGCAGGCCAGCUCCGGGGGCGUGAGGGGAGCGUCCCGUCCUGCCCAGUGGCUCGUCUGUCUGGGCACGCCCCCAAACGCUGCCGUGAUGGAGCGGGGUGGAUGUCCAGGUGCGGAGGCCGUGAAUUUGCCUUGCGGCGGCGGAGCCCGUGCUCGGAUCGAUGAUGACUCCCUCUAAAGCAUUCCUUGGAAAUCUGAACAAAAUGAGUGAGAACUCACUACCGUCUCCUCAUCGAAACUGAGGUCCGGCACGUGGCGGCCACCGGGGGCUCGGGGGCCCUUGGCCUUGGGGCCUCUGUGUGUCAGCAGCCACUCGGGUGAGGUCUGGGGAAGGC